CAGAACUUUCACCAGAAGUGCAAACAUGGCGGACAUGGACAAUUUUUCGAUGCGUUUUUAAAAGCGGUCCGGUAAUUCAGCAAUCUAAUGAAUCUGUCUUCUUUUUUCUGAAAUCGUGCUUAAUUAUUAUUAGUUAUUCGGCUCUACACCGUUGUUCAAAUACUUAUAAUUUCAAGAAACACCCCGAUAAGGACCAGCAGUCAUUGAUGUUAGCAUGUACUGCACAAAGACAAACUGAUGCCAUAGCACUAAUAGCAGUCAAAAAAACAAUGGGAAAAGAAAGAGCUGAAGAAAGGAUGAUUACUGCAUCUAUGAUUUCUGAUAGCUGUUUUUGAAGGUUUUACUACAUCAGAAAGAUCAAGACAGUUGGAAAGGGCUAUUUAUAUCAUGGAAACUUUUUCUCACAGAGCUUGAUAAUCAGGCAAAAUGCUGGAACACCCUUGCAAGAGUAUUUGAUGUAUGAUAAGAACAAGAGAACCCAACCAUACCUUUUGAAUAUUAAACCAUUAAUUUAUUUUAUAGUUCUGGAAAAGAAUGCAUUUGACCUAAUUUUUAAAUAUUUUUUAAUUUGUUUUUAAUGUUAAAUAUCCUCCCCAAACACAAUUAGAAUUUAAUUCUCUCAGGAAAUUUAUGUAUAAUAUAGAAAGUAAAGUGACAUAUAAAUCACUUAGAAUUUGGUCGGAAAUCCUAAAGUAGAAACCAAAUAUAUGCAGAAUUACAAAAAUCCCAUGACCUACAUUAAGGUGACUUUCUCUUGCUUAUCAAAUGAAAUAGGGUUUAAUAUCCUACCGGUCUGUGUUAUUAUGGUAAUUCUGCCCUACAACCUACUCUUUUAUCAAAUAUUUCAAAGGUUUCUUUAAAAUGAACACAGGAACACGCGCACAUUGGAUCAGAUCUGGCAUUGAGUAAAAUAUUUAAAUUGUCAAGGUUUCUUUAAAGUCAACACAUUGGGGGUGGUUUCGAUUCCCCGCUUGUACAUGACAAGGAGUAGGCGCACCUGUCAAACCUCGCAGGUCAAACCUAUGCUCAAAUGAAUUAUUGAAAUAAUAUUGAACCUUAUGUUAGUCCCUAAUGGACCCAGUUUAUGUCGAGUGGAGACUAAACCCCAUUUCUCUCUUGCUUUAAAAUACACACCAAGGUGUUUAUGAGACCUAGGUUUAUUGUCCUAUGCGAACAACUAUAUCAUCCCUUGCCAUGUCCUACACCACUGACAUGGGGGAACUAUGCCGGUAAAUCCAGAUGAAAUUUCUGGGCCAACACCUUAUACUCACUGAACCAAUGUAGCUCCCCCUUGCUUCUGACUUAUAUAAAUAUUUUGUACAUAUUAUUUAAUAUUUGCCAUUUUCUCUGAUAUUUUUAUUUCGUUUAUUUUACAAUAACCUGUAAUCUUGGUGCUUUCAUUAUUCAAUGGGCGCUCCUUUUAUGUACAAAUGAUUCAUUUUGUUUGUUUUUUUUUAAUGAGGAAAGGGUUCUACAUAAUUUUAUAACUCCUGCAAUAGUGCAUUUUUCUUUUGUUAGUUCUGUGUAUGCUACUUAUUUCUAGAUGCCUCACAAAUCACAUGUAAAAUGACUUUGAUGCACUUUUCAGUUUUUGAAAGUAUUUCAAUUUGAUGCAUAAUUAUAUGUCAUUAUAUAACACAAUUUCAUUAGUACUGGAAUUAAUUUUCUGUUAACAUUCCAAAUGUCUAUAUAGUUUUGAUUUGACAGUAUUAAUUUACUUUUUCCUAUCAUUUUUAAAUAAAU
Long non-coding RNA from Patella vulgata (common limpet), 1743 nucleotides. RefSeq lists it as uncharacterized. The transcript has 5 exons. The record is from RefSeq and is a predicted model, not a curated record. NCBI's taxonomy places the organism in Eukaryota, Metazoa, Mollusca, Gastropoda, Patellidae.